Molecule: ribosomal RNA, 424 nt
Filed under: uncultured bacterium
Lineage: Bacteria
Description: bacterial SSU rRNA
Rfam family: Bacterial small subunit ribosomal RNA
Source: RNAcentral
UGAGGAAUAUUGGACAAUGGGCGCAAGCCUGAUCCAGCCAUGCCGCGUGCAGGAUGACGGUCCUAUGGAUUGUAAACUGCUUUUAUACGAGAAGAAACACUGCUACGUGUAGCAGCUUGACGGUAUCGUAAGAAUAAGGAUCGGCUAACUCCGUGCCAGCAGCCGCGGUAAUACGGAGGAUCCAAGCGUUAUCCGGAAUCAUUGGGUUUAAAGGGUCCGUAGGCGGUUUGUUAAGUCAGUGGUGAAAGCCCAUCGCUCAACGGUGGAACGGCCAUUGAUACUGACAGACUUGAAUUAUUAGGAAGUAACUAGAAUAUGUAGUGUAGCGGUGAAAUGCUUAGAGAUUACAUGGAAUACCAAUUGCGAAGGCAGGUUACUACUAAUGGAUUGACGCUGAUGGACGAAAGCGUGGGUAGCGAACAGG